Molecule: ribosomal RNA, 478 nt
Filed under: uncultured bacterium
Lineage: Bacteria
Description: bacterial SSU rRNA
Rfam family: Bacterial small subunit ribosomal RNA
Source: RNAcentral
GGCAGCAGUGGGGAAUAUUGCACAAUGGGCGAAAGCCUGAUGCAGCGACGCCGCGUGAGGGAUGACGGCCUUCGGGUUGUAAACCUCUUUCAGCAGGGAAGAAGCUUAAUCGUGACGGUACCUGCAGAAGAAGCACCGGCUAACUACGUGCCAGCAGCCGCGGUAAUACGUAGGGUGCGAGCGUUGUCCGGAAUUAUUGGGCGUAAAGAGCUUGUAGGCGGUUUGUCGCGUCUGCUGUGAAAACUCGGGGCUUAACCCCGAGCCUGCAGUGGGUACGGGCAGACUAGAGUAUGGUAGGGGAGACUGGAAUUCCUGGUGUAGCGGUGGAAUGCGCAGAUAUCAGGAGGAACACCGAUGGCGAAGGCAGGUCUCUGGGCCAUAACUGACGCUGAGAAGCGAAAGCAUGGGGAGCGAACAGGAUUAGAUACCCUGGUAGUCCAUGCCGUAAACGUUGGGCGCUAGGUGUGGGGCUCAUUCC